CAAAUAGACCCUGGUCAAUUUAUUUGCACCCUUACUACAAAAGCAAAUCCCCGGAUUAUGCAUAUAGAAAAAGUAGAGCCACCAAAACAACUCACGAACGAACCCUACUCCCCAAUCCAAAUCCAAAGCUAAGAAGAAUGAGAAGCGGAGUGUUGAAGCUCUCACUCUCAUCUUCCCUCACUCUCACUCACACACUCACUUUCUCUUCGUCCCUCUCCGUUCCCAAAACACCCUUUCUCCUCUCUUUCCGACACUCACUUUCCCAUUCCGCCGCCGCCUCCAAGACGCAGCUCUUCAUCCCUCCGGGCGUCGAACCCCACGAGGUUAACGACUCCAUGCUCCUCCCCUGCUCCAACAUCGCCGUCGGACCCUACGCCGGCGAUUCCCGGAUCAAGGAGGUCCAGUUCGUGAAGAGCAGCGCCCGCGCCAAGGACUGCCCCAGGGAUGACCGACCCGAAUUCGCCGUUCUCGGUCGCUCCAACGUCGGCAAGUCCUCCCUCAUCAAUUCCCUCGUUCGCAAGAAGGAGAUUGCUCUCACUUCUAAGAAGCCAGGGAAGACCCAGCUCAUCAAUCACUUCUUGGUCAACAAAAGUUGGUACCUUGUUGACUUGCCUGGUUAUGGCUUCGCGAAAGCACCUGAAGCUUCUAAGACAGAUUGGUCUUCCUUCACAAAAGGGUACUUUUUGAACAGAAGUACUCUGGUGGCUGUCUUGCUUCUCAUCGAUGCAAGUGUUCCACCUCAAAAGAUUGAUUUGGAUUGUGCAAAUUGGCUUGGACGCAAUAAUAUACCAAUCACUUUUGUUUUCACAAAAUGCGACAAAAUGAAGGUGGCAAAGGGGAAACGGCCUGAUGAGAACAUAAGGGAUUUUCAGGAGUUAAUCAGACAACACUACAAGCAACAUCCCCCAUGGAUUAUGACCAGUAGUGUCACUGGACUUGGCAGAGAUGAGCUUCUCUUGCAUAUGUCUCAGCUAAGAAACUACUGGGACCAGUAGGAGAAAAGCUAAAGUUAAGCAAGAUGUGACUAUCUAAGAAAAAACACACCAUGCAGGAGCAAAGUUGAAAUUAUAAAAGAUGCAACGAUACAGAAGAAUCAUGCGAAAAAGCUAUGGGUUUGGUGCUCACAAUGUUUCAUCUGGAUCUUUCAUAAGGAUCUUUGUUCUUAUUGAACUGCAACCAGAUAUAUCUCUUACAUGAGAAUCAAGCUUGAGUUGUUUCUGGAUACUGAAUUCCCAUAUACUGCCGCCAAGUAUUAAGGCUAAUGCUGACAUUUUAUGCAAAUGGAGGGACUGAAUGUGGAAUCCAUUUUAAUCCAGCUAAGGUGAAGAAUAACAGACAAUUGAUUUGAUUCAGUUGUUGGUUUGUCCACAUAUUGAACUAUUAUGCUGUAACACUAUUUGGCACCCCUCGUCCUGUUGCCCCAAUGCCUGAGCUUGGUAUAAGAAGUUCAUAUGGUAAAACGUCAACGCCACAUCUGUUUCUAAGUUUUGGAUCAGCAUUUCUUCUCCCAAUCUCCAUCUCAAUACUUUUCAUGUCCAUUGAAAAUUGAUUGAAUGCAUCAAUGAUCUCAGGCUCCCCCACC
RNA transcript from Cajanus cajan (pigeon pea), 1582 nucleotides. It is a transcript of the gene named P-loop containing nucleoside triphosphate hydrolases superfamily protein, with no coding region annotated. NCBI's taxonomy places the organism in Eukaryota, Viridiplantae, Streptophyta, Magnoliopsida, Fabales, Fabaceae. The record is from RefSeq and is a predicted model, not a curated record.